AAAUUAGUUGCAUAUGUUCAAAGGUAACUUUCUCUAAAAUAAAAUUGAUUGACAAUCUGAAAUAUAAUAUAAUUUGAAAGAUUAAUUUUAUCUGACAGGAAUCUCUAUUAUAAAGAAUCUUGUAUUCACCGAGAUUUGCUUUGUCAUCUUUAACAUUUCAGGCAGUAGCAACAGAAGGACAGGAAGCAAGUGUAAUCACUGACUAUAUUUGAAGGUAAUAUUACAGAAACUAAAGUAUAUUGAAAGCUAUUCAAGAAGCACUAAUAUAAGAAUUUCUUCACUUAUUGAAAUCCUUUGGACAUAAAUUUUGCAGAUUUUAGGACUGGAUGUAUGUGCAGACACUAUGGUAGGAAAUGAAAUGUUGAGGGGUAAUCUCUGGAGGACAAAGGAAGCGUGUCACAACAGG
RNAcentral lists this long non-coding RNA (406 nucleotides) under Gossypium barbadense (sea-island cotton). RNAcentral describes it as "long non-coding RNA (GBAR_LNC023117)". The record is from RNAcentral. Lineage: Eukaryota; Viridiplantae; Streptophyta; Magnoliopsida; Malvales; Malvaceae.